AGAAGAACUGAAGCUAGAUGAUACCUAAUAGCUAAUGCAGGUCUUAUUUAAUGUUUGGAAUUAAUUGUGAGAUUAAAUAAUGAUGAUAACAAAUCUAAGAGAGUACUUUUCAAGAAUAAAAUCCAGUAUUUAAGUUUUCAUGGUGGUAUCAAGAUUCUUCAUUUGUUAUUAGAAAGGUAUUUUUUUAUUUUUUUUAAAAGCCCCUUUAAUUUAUUAAAUUGUAAGAACAGUAUUGUGUUAGUGACUCCUGAUUACAUGUUAAGAAUUUAAAAGAAUGCAUUCCCUUAGUUUGCCAUUAUUACACACAAAUAUCCAUGAAUAUUUAUGUCAAUAUUCCUUAUAAGAAGAUUUAGCUAAUUUUAUCUGAUCAGAAAAGGGUUGGAAAAUGGAAGAGAUUAGAGACUCUGUAGAAGAAGGAAAAGAAAGAAACUGGAAAGAGAAAAUCCUAGGAAAUCUGAAACCUUACAUCUUUUGUAUAUUUUGUUCAUUCUGCUAUGCAGCAUCCAACAUAAUUGCUAAGCUUUGUUUAGACAAAGGCAUGAGUCGUUAUGUUCUUGUGGUGUAUGGAUAUGCUUUUGGGACUGUAACUACAGCAGUUCUAGCACUACUCUUCGAAAGGAAAGUGGAGAGCAAAUUAAGUUUAUCGAUCUGCCUAAAUAUCUUCUUCUUGGGUCUUAUGGGGGUCUUAGGCAGAAUACUUUUCUAUGAUGGACUGGAGAGUACUUCACCAACCUUUGCAGCUGCAAUUAACAAUUUGGUUCCAUCAAUGACCUUUAUUUUGGCAAUUUUGUGCAGGAUGGAAAAAUUAUACUUUGAGAAGCUCAGCAGCCAAACAAAGACUGCAGGAACUAUAGUUGCACUUGGUGGUGCUACGCUCAUGACCCUAUUCAAGGGUGCUACUGUGAUUUCAAUGCAUGCCCUCCACACCCAUCAACAGGCUGCAACAAAACAACUCUUAUAUAGGCACUUGACAAAGGGCUCCGUCUUGCUUAUUUUUCAGUGCCUUGUCACAGCAGCAUACUACAUCUUACAGGCGAAAACAGUGAAAAGGUAUCCGGCUCCUUUUACUCUUACCACAUUGACAAGCCUAUCAGGCACUCUAAUUGCAACAGUCGUAGCAGCAAUUCUUGAUCACAAAGCUUCAUCAUGGAAAUUGUCUUUGGACAUCACUCUUGUUGCUCCACUUUAUUGUAAUUUUGCAGGGGAUUAUGAUCAUGGGAAUUGUUACUUAUAUUCAAACUCUAGUAGUGCGAGUAAGAGGUCCAGUUUUCGUGACGGCAUUUAGACCUCUCAUUACAGUGAUUGUAGCUAUUAUGGGACUGCUCAUUUUAGGGGAGGCAUUGCACUUGGGAGGGAUAAUUGGAGCUACAAUGAUAGUUAUGGGGUUGUAUGCAAUUCUGUGGGGAAAGCAAGUAGAGAAAAGCAAAAAGUUGGUGCAGCCUGCAAGACCUGAACAAGGAAUUGAGAUUAAAUCAGAAAUGUUAACAUGACACUUGUUUCUGUUUUUCCUCUUCUUUCUAUGAGUUUAAGAGAAGUACUUAUCAACCAUUGAUUUUUUUUUUUUAUUGUA
This is an RNA transcript of Ricinus communis (castor bean), 1570 nucleotides long. It is a transcript of the gene named WAT1-related protein At5g07050-like, with no coding region annotated. The record is from RefSeq and is a predicted model, not a curated record. The transcript has 7 exons. Lineage: Eukaryota; Viridiplantae; Streptophyta; Magnoliopsida; Malpighiales; Euphorbiaceae.